UGGGGGAUAUUGCACAAUGGAGGACACUCUGAUGCAGCGACGCCGCGUGAGUGAAGAAGUAUUUCGGUAUGUAAAGCUCUAUCAGCAGGGAAGAAAGGCUCGUAAGAGAGAUGACGGUACCUGACUAAGAAGCCCCGGCUAACUACGUGCCAGCAGCCGCGGUAAUACGUAGGGGGCAAGCGUUAUCCGGAUUUACUGGGUGUAAAGGGAGCGCAGACGGUUAUGCAAGUCUGAAGUGAAACCCCACGGCUCAACCGUGGGCUUGCUUUGGAAACUGUAUAACUAGAGUACUGGAGAGGUAAGCGGAAUUCCUAGUGUAGCGGUGAAAUGCGUAGAUAUUAGGAGGAACAUCGGUGGCGAAGGCGGCUUACUGGACAGCAACUGACGAGUUGGCUCGAAGGCGUGGGGAGCAAACAGGAUUAGAUACGGUGGUAGUCCACCGGGUAAACGAUGAAUACUAGGUGUUGGGUGCCAUAGGCACUUAGUGCCGUCGCUAACGCAGUAAGUAUUCCACCUGGGGAGCAUGUUCGCAAGAAUGAAACUCAAAGGAAUUGACGGGGACCCGCACAA
This 570-nucleotide ribosomal RNA is filed under the name Butyrivibrio fibrisolvens. Its description in RNAcentral is "bacterial SSU rRNA". It matches the Rfam family "Bacterial small subunit ribosomal RNA", at positions 355 to 928 of the family's 1533-position model. Lineage: Bacteria; Bacillati; Bacillota; Clostridia; Lachnospirales; Lachnospiraceae. The record is from RNAcentral.